CUAUGGGCGUGUUGGAGGAGAGGCUUUUUGGGGGAGUUUCUCGGCGCGCCAACGCAGUCGCAGCCUUGUUCUGAGGUUGUUCAGUCUUUGAUCAACUUUUCUAAUUUCUACUGACCGUGUCUGGGAGAUUGGCUCGUCUGAACAGUUUCAUGAAGUGUUGGAAGCCGUCCUCUCCGAAGAAGUCGAAGGAGCCCUGGGAGGUGCUCAGGUG
Molecule: long non-coding RNA, 211 nt
Organism: Trematomus bernacchii (emerald rockcod)
Lineage: Eukaryota; Metazoa; Chordata; Actinopteri; Perciformes; Nototheniidae
Exons: 3
Source: RefSeq, a predicted model, not a curated record